GGCGAAGAAUGUCAGCUUUGGGCCCCGGCCGGCUGACUGGCAACCCUCCACUGUGGCGGGGUGCCGCCGGGGAUAAGCCGGGUGACAUGGGUGUCAUGUCGCAAGCACAGGAA
RNAcentral lists this non-coding RNA (113 nucleotides) under Streptomyces sp. Its description in RNAcentral is "SAM-IV sequence". It matches the Rfam family "SAM (S-adenosyl methionine) riboswitch aptamer". From Rfam's summary of the family: SAM-IV is a mRNA element that regulates gene expression via direct sensing of S-adenosylmethionine (SAM or AdoMet). SAM-IV riboswitches share conserved nucleotide positions with the previously described SAM-I riboswitches sequence analysis and molecular recognition experiments suggest that SAM-I and SAM-IV riboswitches share similar ligand binding sites, but have different scaffolds. The record is from RNAcentral. Lineage: Bacteria; Bacillati; Actinomycetota; Actinomycetes; Kitasatosporales; Streptomycetaceae.